This 497-nucleotide ribosomal RNA is filed under the name uncultured bacterium. RNAcentral describes it as "partial 16S ribosomal RNA". It matches the Rfam family "Bacterial small subunit ribosomal RNA", at positions 28 to 507 of the family's 1533-position model. The record is from RNAcentral.
GAUGAACGCUGGCGGCGUGCCUAAUACAUGCAAGUCGAGCGAACGGACGAGAAGCUUGCUUCUCUGAUGUUAGCGGCGGACGGGUGAGUAACACGUGGAUAACCUACCUAUAAGACUGGGAUAACCUCGGGAAACCGUAGCUAAUACCGGAUAAUAUUUUGAACCGCAUGGUUCAAAAGUGAAAGACGGUCUUGCUGUCACUUAUAGAUGGAUCCGCGCUGCAUUAGCUAGUUGGUAAGGUAACGGCUUACCAAGGCAACGAUGCAUAGCCGACCUGAGAGGGUGAUCGGCCACACUGGAACUGAGACACGGUCCAGACUCCUACGGGAGGCAGCAGUAGGGAAUCUUCCGCAAUGGGCGAAAGCCUGACGGAGCAACGCCGCGUGAGUGAUGAAGGUCUUCGGAUCGUAAAACUCUGUUAUUAGGGAAGAACAUAUGUGUAAGUAACUGUGCACACCUUGACGGUACCUAAUCAGAAAGCCACGGCUAACUACGUG